AAUUAAUCUGUAGGUCAAAAGUUCUUUGACAUAUUGGGAAAUGCAAGUUGUAUGCGAGUAGUAAUACUUAAAUACUAAAUUUUUUAAAGCGAAUAAGAGCGCAUGGUGGAUGCCUAGGAUCUAAGAGGCGACGAAGGACGUGGUAAGCUGCGAUAAGCUACGGGGAGAUGCAAACGAUCGUUACAUCCGUAGAUUUCCGAAUGGGACAACCCAGUACACUGAAGGUGUAUUACUCCGUAAGGAGAGCCAACGCAGGGAACUGAAACAUCUAAGUACCUGUAGGAAAAGAAAAUAAAUUAAUGAUUCCCUAAGUAGUGGCGAGCGAACGGGGAAGAGCCCAAACCGGAUCGAAGCAAUUCUAUCCGGGGUUGUAGGACUACUUUUAGAAAGUCAGAUCAAGUUGAAUCAUCUGGAAAGAUGAACCGUAGCAGGUGAAAGUCCUGUAGGCAUAAAUUCUGAUGGACGUGUAGUAUCCUGAGUAGUGCGGGACCGGAGAAAUCCUGUAUGAAACUGCCAGCACCAUCUGGUAAGGCUAAAUACUCCUUAGAUACCGAUAGUGAACCAGUACCGUAAGGGAAAGGUGAAAAGUACUCCGAACAGGAGAGUGAAAUAGUUCCUGAAACCGUGCGCUUACAAGCGGUCGGAGCCUGGUAACGGGUGACGGCGUGCCUUUUGCAUAAUGAGCCUACGAGUUACUCCUCACUGGCAAGGUUAAGGUCUUCAGUACCGGAGCCGUAGCGAAAGCGAGUUCUAACAGAGCGAAUCAGUCAGUGGGGGUAGACGCGAAACUUUGUGAUCUAUCCAUGGGCAGGAUGAAGGUUAGGUAAAACUAACUGGAGGUCCGAACUCAUUAGCGUUGAAAAGCUAUGGGAUGACCUGUGGAUAGGGGUGAAAGGCCAAUCAAACUGAGAGAUAGCUCGUUCUCCCCGAAAUGUUUUUAGGAACAGCCUCGGAUAUAGACGUGUUAUAGAGGUAGAGCUACUAAUUGGGCUAGGGGGCUUCACCGCCUACCAAACCCUAAUAAACUCCGAAUGCUAUAACAUAAUCUCCGGGAGUGAGGCUGUGGGCGCUAAGGUCCAUGGCCGAGAGGGAAAUAACCCAGACUAACAGCUAAGGUCCCUAAUGAUACGUUAAGUUGAUCAAACGCGGUUCAAAUCCUAAAACAGCCAGGAUGUUGGCUUGGAAGCAGCCAUUCAUUUAAAGAGUGCGUAACAGCUCACUGGUCGAGGGUUUGGGCACGGAAAAUAAUCGGGCAUCAAACGUAUAACCGAAGCUUUAGGCCUAAUACUUAGGUAUUAGACGGUAGGGGAGCAUUCUAAACUGCAUUGAAGGUGUGUUGCGAAACAUGCUGGAGCGUUUAGAAAAGAAAAUGUAGGCAUAAGUAACGAUAAAUAAGAUGAAAAAUCUUAUCGCCGUAAGACUAAGGGUUCCUGAUCAACGCUAAUCGGAUCAGGGUUAGUCGGGUCCUUAGGCAAAGCCGAAAGGCGUAGCUGAUGGCAAACUGGUGAAUAUUCCAGUACCUGCUAUAAAUUCGAUGGAGUAACGGAGUAGUGAAAGGACCGCGCACUUACGGAAUAGUGCGUUAAAGGGUGUAGGUAUAGGUUUGGUAGGAAAAUCCGCCAGACUUGCUGAAACCUGAUAGUACAGCAAAGCUUCGGCCGCGCUGAUAGUGUCCCUAAUCAGACUUCCAAGAAAAACUUCUAAGGUUCGUUUAUAGCAGCCCGUACCGUAAACCGACACAGGUAGUCGAGAAGAGUAUUCUCAGGCGCUCGAGUGAUCCGUGGUAAAGGAACUAGGCAAAUUGACGCUGUAACUUCGGGAUAAGGCGUGCCGCAGUAAUGCGGCCUCAGUAAAAUGGUACAACCAACUGUUUAACAAAAACACAGGGCCCUGCAAAAUCGCAAGAUGACGUAUAGAGCCUGAUACCUGCCCGGUGCUGGAAGGUUAAGGAAGGAUGUUCGGCGCAAGCCAAAGCUUCUGACUGAAGCCCCAGUAAACGGCGGCCGUAACUAUAACGGUCCUAAGGUAGCGAAAUUCCUUGUCGGGUAAGUUCCGACCUGCACGAAUGGUCUAAUGAGUUGUACACUGUCUCUACCACGAGCUCGGUGAAAUUGUAGUAUCGGUGAAGAUGCCGGUUAAUCGCAACGGGACGGAAAGACCCCGUGAACCUUCACUACAACUUAACAUUGAUUUUGAAUGCCAGAUGUGUAGGAUAGUUGGGAGACUAUGAAGCAGCUUCGCCAGGAGUUGUGGAGUCAUCGUUGAAAUACCAACCUUCUGUUAUUUAGAGUCUAAUCCUGCAAGGGAGACAUUGUUUGGUGGGUAGUUUGACUGGGGUGGUCGCCUCCUAAAAGGUAACGGAGGCUCGCAAAGGUACCCUCAGUACGGUUGGUAAUCGUACGCAGAGCGCAUUAGUAUAAGGGUGCUUGACUGUGAGGCAAACAAGCCGAGCAGGUGCGAAAGCAGGCUAAAGUGAUCCGGUGGUUCUGUAUGGAAGGGCCAUCGCUCAAAGGAUAAAAGGUACUCCGGGGAUAACAGGCUGAUCUCACCCAAGAGCUCAUAUCGACGGUGAGGUUUGGCACCUCGAUGUCGGUUCGUCACAUCCUGGGGCUGGAGAAGGUCCCAAGGGUUCGGCUGUUCGCCGAUUAAAGUGGCACGUGAACUGGGUUCAGAACGUCGCAAGACAGUUCGGUCCCUAUCUGUUGUGAUCGUUAGUAAAUUGAGAGGACAUGACCUUAGUACGAGAGGACCGGGUUGUACAUACCGCUGGUGUAUCUGUUGUGCCGCCAGGUGCAGUGCAGAGUAGCUAUGUAUGGAUAGGAUAAACGCUGAAAGCAUCUAAGCGUGAAACCUGCUUCAAGAUGAGUUUACUUUUAAGGGCCGUCGGAGACUACGACGUUGAUAGGUUACAGGUGUAAGGGUGGUAACAUCGCAGCCGAGUAAUACUAAUUGCCCGUAAGCUUUAAUUUU
This 2970-nucleotide ribosomal RNA is filed under the name Chitinophaga niastensis. RNAcentral's name for it is "bacterial LSU rRNA". It matches the Rfam family "Bacterial large subunit ribosomal RNA". Lineage: Bacteria; Pseudomonadati; Bacteroidota; Chitinophagia; Chitinophagales; Chitinophagaceae. The record is from RNAcentral.